CGGCAUAGCUCAGUUGGUAGAGCGCAUCAUUCGUAAUGAUGAAGUCGGGGGUUCGAAUCCCUCUGCCGGC
Molecule: transfer RNA, 70 nt
Filed under: marine eukaryotic metagenome
Rfam family: tRNA
About the family: Transfer RNA (tRNA) molecules are approximately 80 nucleotides in length. Their secondary structure includes four short double-helical elements and three loops (D, anti-codon, and T loops).
Source: RNAcentral